GCCUACGGGGGGCAGCAGUGGGGAAUAUUGCACAAUGGGGGAAACCCUGAUGCAGCGACGCCGCGUGAGUGAAGAAGUAAUUCGUUAUGUAAAGCUCUAUCAGCAGGGAAGAAAAUGACGGUACCUGAGUAAGAAGCCCCGGCUAACUACGUGCCAGCAGCCGCGGUAAUACGUAGGGGGCAAGCGUUAUCCGGAUUUACUGGGUGUAAAGGGAGCGUAGGUGGCAGGGCAAGUCAGAUGUGAAAACCCGGGGCUCAACCCCGGGAGUGCAUUUGAAACUGUCCAGCUGGCGUGCAGGCGAGGUU
This 305-nucleotide ribosomal RNA is filed under the name uncultured bacterium. Its description in RNAcentral is "bacterial SSU rRNA". It matches the Rfam family "Bacterial small subunit ribosomal RNA", at positions 337 to 659 of the family's 1533-position model. The record is from RNAcentral.